Molecule: long non-coding RNA, 1439 nt
Filed under: Corvus moneduloides (New Caledonian crow)
Lineage: Eukaryota; Metazoa; Chordata; Aves; Passeriformes; Corvidae
Description: lncRNA (ENSCMUG00000019991.1)
Source: RNAcentral
UUCCAGGCAGAAAGGAGGAUCUCUCUGCUAGUUUUUCAGAGGGCACAAGUUAAUCUGUAAAACCCUGCAUGUUGCAAUAAGGCACAGAAACACCAAACUUUUGUACAGGUAGCAAGGGCACCUGCUGGUUUCCAGAGAGUGGGAGGUUUGUUUUCUUCACAGUGCCGUGUAGUGUGUUGACCAGCACCACCCCCAGAGCUGAUAGCAUUUCACUCACCCCAUCACGGCACAUGUAUUGUUUCUUCCACCUGUUGCACCCCAUCAGUGAACUCUGUGCAAUUGUGCAAUGUCUGGCACUAUCAGUGAUACUGUCAUUUUCACUUAAAACCAAAAUAAUGAUGUGCUUGUUCAUUCGUGAAGCCUUUGUGGCAUCCCUCACCUUGAGCUGCACUCUGUACAUGAAUGCAACACUCGUAGCUACCAGGGAUAAGCAGAUGUUAAGUCACUGCUCAUCUCUCUCAUUAAGGCAAUUAGUGACCUGUAGAAGAUGAUCAGUCAGGGAUUUUAUCCAUCUUGACACUGGUGUCUGGUUGCCUGUACCAAAAGAUUCUGUUUAUGGUCCGGUUCUUAAUUUCUCCCAUUCCUGCUCAUCAUUAUUAUUAUCCAAAGUGCCUUUUUGCUUCUGUUAGCAAAACCAGAAUCCCCCAUGCCUCAGUUUUAGCAGCUAAUGUCCACAAUAGGGGCAACUGAUCCAGCACAGGAGUUAAAUAUAACUGUGUCUAGUGUAAGGAGAAGAUUUAAUGGGAAAUGGUUGGCAUUCUUUCUUCCUAAAGGCACGGGGAGGGAGGGGGGGGAGAGAGAGACGUACACACACAGACACACACACGCAUCCCAUAGUGAGGGCAGAGGCAGAGAGCAGGCAAGGCAGAGAGGGAGAGAGGGGAGAGAGAGAGCCCCAAAGCAGCCCUGCGUCUCUGAGCUGGGAUCUGCCAGGGCAGAGCCAGCAUGUUGGUCCUCAGCCCGCUUGUCCAGGGAUCUUACCUGCUGCUUUUCUUCUGCUUUGCUUUGUCUCAGACUGCGUACGCUGACAAUGUCUUCUCAAUUUCAGCAGAUCUCCCUUGUUUGGAACAGAAGAAGCAGCCCAACUGCAGAGCAUGCUGCCUCCUUGGCCCUCCUCCACCGCCCCUGUUCCCACCACCAUACUUCAGGCACAGCUGGAGAACUAAGCUGGAUGUGGAAGAGCUGUGUCAUGAGCUCCAGACAAUACAGGCUUCCUCUCUGCCUGAACCUCACUGUUCUGCAGGGCCUCCUGGCCCCCAGGUGAGUGAUGCAUAUGUGAUUAAACCACAUUGUUCUCUCACUUGCUCCAAAGUCCUUACAAAGCUGUGAAACAUGUGGAAAUGCUUUUUACCACUCAGUAAGCAUGCCAAGCUCUGGCUUAAUUUCAUUUUGAUAGGACUUUGCAUAUAAUGUAGUCUUUUUACCUUGUGUUCUCAUUC